AAAGAUAUCUGGUUGAUCCUGCCUGAACUGAUGUGUUUAUUUCAAAGAUUAAGCCAUGCAUGUAUAAGUUUAAUCGUUUAUCGAGAAACCGCGUACGGCUCAUUAGAA
RNAcentral lists this ribosomal RNA (108 nucleotides) under Meloidogyne arenaria. RNAcentral describes it as "partial 18S ribosomal RNA". It matches the Rfam family "Eukaryotic small subunit ribosomal RNA", at positions 1 to 106 of the family's 1831-position model. RNAcentral also lists the same sequence under 1 other name. Lineage: Eukaryota; Metazoa; Nematoda; Chromadorea; Rhabditida; Meloidogynidae. The record is from RNAcentral.